Molecule: ribosomal RNA, 248 nt
Filed under: uncultured bacterium
Lineage: Bacteria
Description: partial 16S ribosomal RNA
Rfam family: Bacterial small subunit ribosomal RNA
Source: RNAcentral
UACAGAGGGUGCAAGCGUUAAUCGGAAUUACUGGGCGUAAAGCGUGCGUAGACGGUUACAUAAGUCAGGUGUGAAGCCCGGGCUCAACCUGGGAAUUGCAUUUGAGACUGUGUAGCUAGGGUGCGGAAGAGGGAAGCGGAAUUUCAGGUGUAGCGGUGAAAUGCGUAGAUAUCUGAAGGAACACCAGUGGCGAAAGCGGCUUCCUGGUCCAGCACCGACGUCAGGCACGAAGCGUGGGAGCAAACAGG